RNAcentral lists this transfer RNA (88 nucleotides) under Candidatus Acetothermia bacterium. Its description in RNAcentral is "tRNA-Ser". It matches the Rfam family "tRNA". From Rfam's summary of the family: Transfer RNA (tRNA) molecules are approximately 80 nucleotides in length. RNAcentral also lists the same sequence under 1 other name. The record is from RNAcentral. Lineage: Bacteria; Candidatus Bipolaricaulota.
GGAGGGGUGGGUGAGUGGACUAAACCACCGGUCUUGAAAACCGGCGUGCCUUAGUGCACCGUGGGUUCGAAUCCCACCCCCUCCGCCA